Molecule: small RNA, 28 nt
Filed under: Bombyx mori (domestic silkworm)
Lineage: Eukaryota; Metazoa; Arthropoda; Insecta; Lepidoptera; Bombycidae
Description: ovarian small RNA-15885
Source: RNAcentral
GAGGACUGGGAACGGACACAGAUGGCCA